UGAGUCCGGGCCUGACACAGAUCUUAGAAGUGUAGCAGAUUCAAUAUUGAUGAAGUGGAUCGAUCAGAGGAGCACCUCCCUCCCAUUUCUGUUACGACAGCCGGUCUGCAGUGUGGACAGAGGGGACGACGAAGGCCAUCGGUCAACACACACUUUAGCCCCUAUUUUAACUUGUGUGUGUGUGUGUGUGCGCGCGCAUGAGGCUGCAUGUAUGCGUGUCAGUGCGCAUCUUGGCUUCUGUCCUGUCUCUGUCUCUGACCAUGGUUCCUCUGGUGGAGGACUCCGGGCCACAUUCUCCCUUCCCAUCUGCCCCUGCACCGCCUUUGCGUCCCUCGGCUUGCCGUACUGACAGGCGGAGUUGCCACAGUGAUGGAUGACUGUGCGCUUAGUUUCAGUGUCAGAGUCCUGCACCUCUGCUACCUGCCGUGUGGGUCCCUGUCAAAGACUUCCUGUCAGGUCAGCUAUACUCUACCUCCCCGCCCCCCUUCCUUUUUAUCCAGCUCUUCAUCUUCAUCUUGCAGCUCUCUCAUCUCACCUUUAUUUAGCUCACUAGUGGGACCUAUCUCAAAAGCUGAAGAAAAGUGUAAAA
Long non-coding RNA from Larimichthys crocea (large yellow croaker), 589 nucleotides. RefSeq lists it as uncharacterized. Lineage: Eukaryota; Metazoa; Chordata; Actinopteri; Sciaenidae. The record is from RefSeq and is a predicted model, not a curated record. The transcript is spliced from 3 exons.